This 438-nucleotide long non-coding RNA is filed under the name Heterocephalus glaber (naked mole-rat). RNAcentral describes it as "lncRNA (ENSHGLG00100052384.1)". The record is from RNAcentral. Lineage: Eukaryota; Metazoa; Chordata; Mammalia; Rodentia; Bathyergidae.
GGACCCCCGGGCGGGCUCCGGGGGCUCUUCGCUGGGCUGUGGAGGAAAGCCGUGAAAGGAGUGUGCGGCUCUGUCCUCGCUACGGUUACUCCGCCCGCACACGGUGGGGGUCGCGCCGCGCCUCGUUUCUUUAAUUCCUGGCAGACGCAUCGGGUUACAGGGUCCUGCGGGCCCCCACCCACAUUCUGCGGCCCCACGGGACUGAACCCAAUCCUUCCACACCGGAGUUUGCACGUCCUGUAUCGCCACCUCCCCACCCCUCUCCCUGAACGUCCCGGCCCUGGAGGGGAGGAGGGCAGCAAAGCCGGCGAUCAUCAAGGUGCCGAGAUUGUGGACGGAGACGCGCUGGGGCAGAGACUAUGUGAUCGCGUCGGUAUCUGAGUAGAGGACUUCGCUUCGGGGAGGGAAGAGGAGGGAUCGGCGCGCUCCUCCGCGGCG